RNAcentral lists this ribosomal RNA (345 nucleotides) under uncultured archaeon. RNAcentral's name for it is "bacterial SSU rRNA". It matches the Rfam family "Archaeal small subunit ribosomal RNA", at positions 691 to 1035 of the family's 1478-position model. The record is from RNAcentral.
CCGACGGUGAGAGACGAAAGCUGGGGGAGCAAACCGGAUUAGAUACCCGGGUAGUCCCAGCCGUAAACGAUGUGCGUUAGGUGUAUCGGUGACCACGAGUCACCGAGGUGCCGAAGAGAAAUCGUGAAACGUACCGCCUGGGAAGUACGGUCGCAAGGCUGAAACUUAAAGGAAUUGGCGGGGGAGCACCACAACAGGUGGAGCCUGCGGUUUAAUCGGACUCAACGCCGGGAAACUCACCAGAUAAGACAGCUGAAUGAUAGUCGGGCUGAAGACUCUACUUGACUAGCUGAGAGGAGGUGCAUGGCCGUCGUCAGUUCGUACUGUGAAGCAUCCUGUUAAGUC